This 497-nucleotide ribosomal RNA is filed under the name uncultured bacterium. RNAcentral's name for it is "partial 16S ribosomal RNA". It matches the Rfam family "Bacterial small subunit ribosomal RNA", at positions 28 to 507 of the family's 1533-position model. The record is from RNAcentral.
GAUGAACGCUGGCGGCGUGCCUAAUACAUGCAAGUCGAGCGAACGGACGAGAAGCUUGCUUCUCUGAUGUUAGCGGCGGACGGGUGAGUAACACGUGGAUAACCUACCUAUAAGACUUGGAUAACUUCGGGAAACCGGAGCUAAUACCGGAUGAUAUUUUGAACCGCAUGGUUCAAAAGUGAAAGAAGGUCUUGCUGUCACUUAUAGAUGGAUCCGCGCUGCAUUAGCUAGUUGGUAAGGUAACGGCUUACCAAGGCAACGAUGCAUAGCCGACCUGAGAGGGUGAUCGGCCACACUGGAACUGAGACACGGUCCAGACUCCUACGGGAGGCAGCAGUAGGGAAUCUUCCGCAAUGGGCGAAAGCCUGACGGAGCAACGCCGCGUGAGUGAUGAAGGUCUUCGGAUCGUAAAACUCUGUUAUUAGGGAAGAACAUAUGUGUAAGUAACUGUGCACAUCUUGACGGUACCUAAUCAGAAAGCCACGGCUAACUACGUG